CCGAGUUAUACAACUCAUCAACCCUGUGAACAUACCUAAAACGUUGCUUCGGCGGGAACAGACGGCCUUGUAACAACGGGCCGCCCCCGCCAGAGGACCCCUAACUCUGUUUUUAUAAUGUUUUUCUGAGUAAAUAAGCAAAUAAAUUA
RNAcentral lists this unclassified non-coding RNA (149 nucleotides) under soil metagenome. RNAcentral describes it as "partial internal transcribed spacer 1". The record is from RNAcentral.